Long non-coding RNA from Apis dorsata (giant honeybee), 352 nucleotides. RefSeq lists it as uncharacterized. Lineage: Eukaryota; Metazoa; Arthropoda; Insecta; Hymenoptera; Apidae. The record is from RefSeq and is a predicted model, not a curated record. The transcript is spliced from 3 exons.
ACUUGCAUGAGAGAAUCAUGGAAGGAUCUGGUUGGAUGAUGAACUUGCAUGAUUGGUUCACGUUUUCGUUGGCGGUUUGGAGUAAUUUAGUUGCUAGCUGCAUUUUUCGAGAUUUUUGUUUCUUUUUGUAAAAGAGAAUCAGGAAGGAACAGGAGGAUCUGGUUGGAGAUCUGAAUGAAAUUAUGAGAAUUUUCCUUCUUCUGAUGUUUGUGAGAGAAUCGUGAUCGAACAGAAGUUUUCGAUUGGUCUGCUGGGGACCAGUGAGAGAUUUCCUUCUUGCAUCUGUGAGACAAUUUCUGCUGGAUCUUUGUGUCCUUCUGCAUUAAGAGAUUCAGCGAUAACAACGAUUUUC